UACAUAGGGGGCAAGCGUUGCCCGGAAUCACUGGGCGUAAAGGGUGCGUAGGCGGAAACUUAAGUUAAGUGUGAAAGCCCGAGGCUUAACCUCGGAACUGCACUUAAUACUGGGCUUCUAGAGUGAUGGAGAGGUUAGUGGAACUCCUAGUGUAGCGGUAAAAUGCGUAGAUAUUAGGAAGAACACCAGAGGCGAAGCCGACUAACUGGACAUUAACUGACGCUGAGGCACGAAAGCGUGGGGAGCAAAC
This 250-nucleotide ribosomal RNA is filed under the name uncultured prokaryote. RNAcentral describes it as "partial 16S ribosomal RNA". It matches the Rfam family "Bacterial small subunit ribosomal RNA", at positions 524 to 773 of the family's 1533-position model. The record is from RNAcentral.